This 1020-nucleotide long non-coding RNA is filed under the name Volvox carteri. Its description in RNAcentral is "long non-coding RNA (VCAR_LNC002282)". The record is from RNAcentral. Lineage: Eukaryota; Viridiplantae; Chlorophyta; Chlorophyceae; Chlamydomonadales; Volvocaceae.
CAUGGACCGUUGCUAUUUGGGGGGUUAUCUGGCGUAAUGUGGUUCGGGGGUUUGCCUGGACCUAUGCUAAUUGGGGGUUGACCUGGCGCAAUGUGGUUCGGGGGUUUGCAUGGACCGUUGCUAUUUGGGGGGUUACCUGGCAUAAUUUGUUUCGGGGGGUUUGCCUGGACCGAUGCUAAUUGGGGGGUGACCCGGCAUAAUGCAGUUCGGGGGUUUGCAUGGACCGAUUUUAUUUUGGCGGUUGCCUGGCGUGAAGCUUUGCGGGGGUCUCCACUUCCGCAGGCUUUCUGUUUGAAAGCUGCACGAGUGCGCGGCCUCAGGUCUAACGAGGCUGCGACGUACAUGAGGCGCCUUAGCACAGUAUCGUGCACGGUAAGUCUGGGCCGCAAGCUUGGGGGGUAAACUGCCGUUCGCGCUCAAAUGCAACCGUAAGUCGUUGGAAUUGGCAUAUUUAACCGUUUCAUCUGUACAUAUGCAGGGUCUCCACUUCCGCAGGCUUUCUGUUUGAAAGUUGCACGAGUGCGCGGCCUCAGGUCUAACGAGGCUGCGACGUACGUGAGGCGCCUUAGCACGGUAUCGUGCACGGUAAGUCUGGGCCGCAAGCUUGGGGGGUAAACUGCCGUUCGCGCUCAAAUGCAACCGUAAGUCGUUGGAAUUGGCAUAUUUAACCGUUUCAUCUGUUCUUAUGCAGGGUCUCCACUUCCGCAGGCUUUCUGUUUGAAAGCUGCACGAGUGCGCGGCCUCAGGUCUAACGAGGCUGCGACGUACGUGAGGCGCCUUAGCACGGUAUCGUGCACGGUAAGUCUGGGCCGCAAGCUUGGGGGGUAAACUGCCGUUCGCGCUCAAAUGCAACCGUAAGUCGUUGGAAUUGGCAUAUUUAACCGUUUCAUCUGUUCUUAUGCAGGGUCUCCACUUCCGCAGGCUUUCUGUUUGAAAGCUGCACGAGUGCGCGGCCUCAGGUCUAACGAGGCUGCGACGUACAUGAGGCGCCUUAGCACAGUAUCGUGCACGGUAAGUNNN